GGGGGACUCCGGGCGAUCGCCUCGAACAUGCGUUUCGUGUUCGGGGAGGAAAGUCCGAACUCCACAGAACAGCACGCUUCUUAACGGGAAGGUGUCGAGCCCUCUCCCCUCACAGGGAGGGGGUAAGACAACGGAAAGUGCAACAGGAAGACACCGCCGAUGGCUGCAUUUCGGUGCGGCACAGGUAAGGGUGAAAUGGCAGGGUAAGAGCCUACCAGCGGCUGGGUGACCAGCCGGCUCGGCAAACCCCGUGCGGAGCAAGAUCAAGCAGAGAUGGAAGGCGCUUCGGCGCCGGAUGGCUGUUCGUCACUUCCGCUUCGGCGGUACCAUCUCGGGUAGAUCGCUUGAGGUCUGCGGCAACGCAGAUCCCAGAUAAAUGAUCGCCUCCUUCGGUUUCGCAGCCGAAGAAGACAGAAUUCGGCUUAUAGGAGUCUCCCAGUG
RNAcentral lists this RNase P RNA (441 nucleotides) under Ignavibacteria bacterium. Its description in RNAcentral is "RNase P RNA component class A". It matches the Rfam family "Bacterial RNase P class A". From Rfam's summary of the family: Ribonuclease P (RNase P) is a ubiquitous endoribonuclease, found in archaea, bacteria and eukarya as well as chloroplasts and mitochondria. Its best characterised activity is the generation of mature 5'-ends of tRNAs by cleaving the 5'-leader elements of precursor-tRNAs. Cellular RNase Ps are ribonucleoproteins. The record is from RNAcentral. RNAcentral also lists the same sequence under 1 other name. Lineage: Bacteria; Pseudomonadati; Ignavibacteriota; Ignavibacteria.